CUACGGGUGGCUGCAGUGGGGAAUAUUGCACAAUGGGCGCAAGCCUGAUGCAGCCAUGCCGCGUGUGUGAAGAAGGCCUUCGGGUUGUAAAGCACUUUCAGCGGGGAGGAAGGCGUUAAGGUUAAUAACCUUGGCGAUUGACGUUACCCGCAGAAGAAGCACCGGCUAACUCCGUGCCAGCAGCCGCGGUAAUACGGAGGGUGCAAGCGUUAAUCGGAAUUACUGGGCGUAAAGCGCACGCAGGCGGUCUGUCAAGUCGGAUGUGAAAUCCCCGGGCUCAACCUGGGAACUGCAUUCGAAACUGGCAGGCUAGAGUCUUGUAGAGGGGGGUAGGAUUCCAGGUGUAGCGGUGAAAUGCGUAGAGAUCUGGAGGAAUACCGGUGGCGAAGGCGGCCCCCUGGACAAAGACUGACGCUCAGGUGCGAAAGCGUGGGGAGCAAACAGGAUUAGAUACCCUAGUAGUC
Molecule: ribosomal RNA, 464 nt
Filed under: uncultured Klebsiella sp.
Lineage: Bacteria; Pseudomonadati; Pseudomonadota; Gammaproteobacteria; Enterobacterales; Enterobacteriaceae
Description: bacterial SSU rRNA
Rfam family: Bacterial small subunit ribosomal RNA
Source: RNAcentral